This 73-nucleotide transfer RNA is filed under the name Aeromonas hydrophila. Its description in RNAcentral is "tRNA-Met". It matches the Rfam family "tRNA". Rfam says of the family: Transfer RNA (tRNA) molecules are approximately 80 nucleotides in length. Lineage: Bacteria; Pseudomonadati; Pseudomonadota; Gammaproteobacteria; Aeromonadales; Aeromonadaceae. The record is from RNAcentral.
GGGUGGAGCAGCUCGGUAGCUCGUCGGGCUCAUAACCCGAAGGUCGUCGGUUCAAAUCCGGCCCCCGCAACCA